This 377-nucleotide ribosomal RNA is filed under the name uncultured bacterium. RNAcentral's name for it is "bacterial SSU rRNA". It matches the Rfam family "Bacterial small subunit ribosomal RNA", at positions 523 to 898 of the family's 1533-position model. The record is from RNAcentral.
AGACGUAGGGGGCGAGCGUUGUCCGGAAUCACUGGGCGUAAAGGGCGCGUAGGCGGCCUGGCAAGUCGGAUGUGAAAGGCCCCGGCUCAACCGGGGAGGUGCAUUCGAAACUGCCGGGCUUGAGGGCAGGAGAGGGCAGCGGAAUUCCCGGUGGAGCGGUGAAAUGCGUAGAGAUCGGGAGGAACACCAGUGGCGAAGGCGGCUGCCUGGCCUGGCCCUGACGCUGAGGCGCGACAGCGUGGGGAGCGAACGGGAUUAGAUACCCCGGUAGUCCACGCCGUAAACGAUGGGUGCUAGGUGUGGGAGGUAUCGACCCCUUCCGUGCCGGAGCUAACGCACUAAGCACCCCGCCUGGGGAGUACGGCCGCAAGGCUGAA